AACUUAAGCAUAUCAAUAAGCGGAGGAAAAGAAACCAACAGGGAUUGCCCUAGUAACGGCGAGUGAAGCGGCAACAGCUCAAAUUUGAAAUCUGGCUCUUUCAGAGUCCGAGUUGUAAUUUGCAGAGGGCGCUUUGGCUUUGGCAGCGGUCCAAGUUCCUUGGAACAGGACGUCACAGAGGGUGAGAAUCCCGUACGUGGUCGCUAGCUAUUGCCGUGUAAAGCCCCUUCGACGAGUCGAGUUGUUUGGGAAUGCAGCUCUAAAUGGGAGGUAAAUUUCUUCUAAAGCUAAAUAUUGGCCAGAGACCGAUAGCGCACAAGUAGAGUGAUCGAAAGAUGAAAAGCACUUUGGAAAGAGAGUCAAACAGCACGUGAAAUUGUUGAAAGGGAAGCGCUUGCAGCCAGACUUGCUUGCAGUUGCUCAUCCGGGCUUUUGCCCGGUGCACUCUUCUGCAGGCAGGCCAGCAUCAGUUUGGGCGGUGGGAUAAAGGUCUCUGACACGUUCCUUCCUUCGGGUUGGCCAUAUAGGGGAGACGUCAUACCACCAGCCUGGACUGAGGUCCGCGCAUCUGCUAGGAUGCUGGCGUAAUGGCUGUAAGCGGCCCGUCUUGAAACACGGACCAAGGAGUCUAACAUCUAUGCGAGUGUUUGGGUGUCAAGCCCGAGCGCGUAAUGAAAGUGAACGGAGGUGGGAACCCGCAAGGGUGCACCAUCGACCGAUCCUGAAGUUUACGGAAGGAUUUGAGUAAGAGCAUGGCUGUUGGGACCCGAAAGAUGGUGAACUAUGCUUGAAUAGGGUGAAGCCAGAGGAAACUCUGGUGGAGGCUCGCAGCGGUUCUGACGUGCAAAUCGAUCGUCAAAUUUGGGCAUAGGGGCGAAAGACUAAUCGAACUAUCUAGUAGCUGGUUCCUGCCGAAGUUUCCCUCACGAUAGCAGUAACGUAUUCAGUUUUAUGAGGUAAAGCGAAUGAUUAGAGGCAUGGGGGUUGAAACAACCUUCACCUAUUCUCAAACUUUAAAUAUGUAAGAAGCCCUUUGUUACUUAAUUGAACGCGGGCAUUUGAAUGAAACG
Molecule: ribosomal RNA, 1070 nt
Filed under: Curvularia lunata
Lineage: Eukaryota; Fungi; Ascomycota; Dothideomycetes; Pleosporales; Pleosporaceae
Description: partial large subunit ribosomal RNA
Rfam family: Eukaryotic large subunit ribosomal RNA
Source: RNAcentral